Molecule: small RNA, 25 nt
Filed under: Arabidopsis thaliana (thale cress)
Lineage: Eukaryota; Viridiplantae; Streptophyta; Magnoliopsida; Brassicales; Brassicaceae
Description: ATSL132440
Source: RNAcentral
UUGUUUCUUCUUCUUCUUCUCAACA